This 544-nucleotide ribosomal RNA is filed under the name uncultured bacterium. RNAcentral describes it as "bacterial SSU rRNA". It matches the Rfam family "Bacterial small subunit ribosomal RNA", at positions 365 to 899 of the family's 1533-position model. The record is from RNAcentral.
UCCGCAAUGGACGAAAGUCUGACGGAGCAACGCCGCGUGAGUGAUGAAGGCUUUCGGGUCGUAAAACUCUGUUGUUAGGGAAGAACAAGUGCUAGUUGAAUAAGCUGGCACCUUGACGGUACCUAACCAGAAAGCCACGGCUAACUACGUGCCAGCAGCCGCGGUAAUACGUAGGUGGCAAGCGUUAUCCGGAAUUAUUGGGCGUAAAGCGCGCGCAGGUGGUUUCUUAAGUCUGAUGUGAAAGCCCACGGCUCAACCGUGGAGGGUCAUUGGAAACUGGGAGACUUGAGUGCAGAAGAGGAAAGUGGAAUUCCAUGUGUAGCGGUGAAAUGCGUAGAGAUAUGGAGGAACACCAGUGGCGAAGGCGACUUUCUGGUCUGUAACUGACACUGAGGCGCGAAAGCGUGGGGAGCAAACAGGAUUAGAUACCCUGGUAGUCCACGCCGUAAACGAUGAGUGCUAAGUGUUAGAGGGUUUCCGCCCUUUAGUGCUGAAGUUAACGCAUUAAGCACUCCGCCUGGGGAGUACGGCCGCAAGGCUGAAA